GGUUUUAAUUUUCAGAAGAACUAGUUCAAAACAAAAGGGUGGACUUACAUCUACAUAAAAGUUGUGUUUUAUUAGGGUGGACCUAAGAACACAAAUUAAGUGAACAAAAAUUUAAGAAAAAUAAACAUAAAUUUAAAUAAAUAAACAUUACAUAAAUAAAAAAAUUUAAUAACUUAAUUGAAAAAAAUAUUAUACAAAACAAACAUAACUAAUAUAAUUUAAAAUGAGGGGAAUGUCGCGGUCAAAUAUUCAUCGCUUAACGAAAAAACAAAAGGAAGAGCUUCAGCAAUCGGCUGCUAGAGCUCUUACUUUUGAUACAGAAAAUAAUUCUGGAAAUGAAUGCCUAUGUGAACCCGAAUCGGAUAAAAGUGCAUCAAACUAUUCUUAUGAGUAUGAUACCUAUGAAUCUCCGUGAAAAAUUAUUAGAAUGGUACCAUAAUAAUAACGUUACUAGAGUUCAUAUUGAUGCACUUUUAAAAACUUUUGAAUUCGGAAAAUCUAGAUCUUCAAUAGGAUAUUAAGUCCAAGUUUGAUAAUGGAGCUUAAUUAUGGCGGUAC
Molecule: long non-coding RNA, 558 nt
Organism: Drosophila elegans
Lineage: Eukaryota; Metazoa; Arthropoda; Insecta; Diptera; Drosophilidae
Exons: 3
Source: RefSeq, a predicted model, not a curated record